Molecule: ribosomal RNA, 520 nt
Filed under: uncultured Glomus
Lineage: Eukaryota; Fungi; Glomeromycota; Glomeromycetes; Glomerales; Glomeraceae
Description: SSU rRNA
Rfam family: Eukaryotic small subunit ribosomal RNA
Source: RNAcentral
AGCAGCCGCGGUAAUUCCAGCUCCAAUAGCGUAUAUUAAAGUUGUUGCAGUUAAAAAGCUCGUAGUUGAAUUUCGGGGUUAGUAGGUUGGUCAUGCCUCUGGUAUGUACUGGUCUCACUGAUUCCUCCUUCCUGAUGAGCCGUAAUGCCAUUAAUUUGGUGUUGCGGGGAAUUUGGACUGUUACUUUGAAAAAAUUAGAGUGUUUAAAGCAAGCUAACGCUUGAAUACAUUAGCAUGGAAUAAUGAAAUAGGACGUUCGAUCCUAUUUUGUUGGUUUCUAGGAUUGACGUAAUGAUUAAUAGGGAUAGUUGGGGGCAUUAGUAUUCAAUUGUCAGAGGUGAAAUUCUUGGAUUUAUUGAAGACUAACUACUGCGAAAGCAUUUGCCAAGGAUGUUUUCAUUAAUCAAGAACGAAAGUUAGGGGAUCGAAGACGAUCAGAUACCGUCGUAGUCUUAACCAUAAACUAUGCCGACUAGGGAUCGGAUGAUGUUAAUUUUUAAUGACUCAUUCGGCGCUUAAC